GGGGGCGGUCCCGGCGCCUCCACCAAAGUUAUAAUCCAACAAAGAUUAUAUUUUUAUGGGGGCGAAACAGGAUCGACAAGGGUGUAAAGAUUGCUCUUUUACUCGGCAUUGUACCACCGUUAUCGGGCUAGAUGAAUAGUUGCAAAUGACAACUAUGCGGAGGCACGUCUCAUCGCUGCUUAAGCGAUGCGAAGGCUUCAAAUUAAGUCUUAAACCGUCGCAGGUUUAAGCGGGGUUCGAAGGCACCUGGAAACAGAAGCACA
Molecule: transfer-messenger RNA, 263 nt
Filed under: Bartonella clarridgeiae
Lineage: Bacteria; Pseudomonadati; Pseudomonadota; Alphaproteobacteria; Hyphomicrobiales; Bartonellaceae
Description: partial ssrA
Rfam family: Alphaproteobacteria transfer-messenger RNA
About the family: Bacterial tmRNA, also known as 10Sa RNA or SsrA, is named for its dual tRNA and mRNA-like properties. Its role is to liberate the mRNA from a stalled ribosome.
Source: RNAcentral